CUGCGCCGCCCUUCGCGAAAGGGUGUUUCCUCCCUAGACUAGAGGCCGCCUCCCGGAUGAGCGCGGCCUUUUUUUUGUUAAGU
This 83-nucleotide small RNA is filed under the name Pseudovibrio denitrificans. RNAcentral's name for it is "suhB". It matches the Rfam family "Makes More Granules Regulator RNA (mmgR)". Rfam says of the family: SuhB later renamed mmgR (makes more granules regulator) was a putative non-coding RNA found multiple times in the Agrobacterium tumefaciens genome and related alpha-proteobacteria. Other non-coding RNAs uncovered in the same analysis include: speF, ybhL, metA, and serC. Lineage: Bacteria; Pseudomonadati; Pseudomonadota; Alphaproteobacteria; Hyphomicrobiales; Stappiaceae. The record is from RNAcentral.